This is a long non-coding RNA of Bos taurus (domestic cattle), 1001 nucleotides long. NCBI's taxonomy places the organism in Eukaryota, Metazoa, Chordata, Mammalia, Artiodactyla, Bovidae. The record is from Ensembl.
CUUUCAGUGUGAUAACUUGGAGUUCAUAUUGUUGGGGGAGAUAAGCAGCGGGAGCAGGUGCUUCUUGAAUUCACUUAUCAGCGCUCCGGCUGCCCAGGCGCUCUGAUGCUGCGGGCGCGUCUCGGAGUGAGGCUUCUUGGGCCCCCAGGGCCACCGUUUCAUCUGCCGACCUCGCAGGGGUGAAGGCUCUCUUCUAGUCUGCGUUCAUCUUGCUGUAUCCUCACAUGGCUACACGAAGAUGCUGUAGGAUCAGGCAGAUUCCUGGAGGCGGCAGCAGGAUCUUCCCAUUCCUCUCAUGACCUGCCUGGGAACCACUGGCCGGGGCUGGCUGGGCACAGGGUCGGCACCGGGUCUACACAGAGUCUGACCAGGAGGCGGGAGGAGGGCCCAGGCCUCUGUGGGGACCAGCACUCCCCGCCGAGGAGAGCCGCGGCCUCCCCCGGGCCCUGAAGCUCCCUUCUCCCUCCUUUCUAGAACAUCUAGCUUGGGGUGGUUCAGACUGAUAGCUUUUAAAUUGUUUAAGCUCAUUUUUGAAAUAGCCCCCCCUUUGCUUUGCUGUACAUCCUCAACAGCGGUGGACACUGCAGUGUUUAAUAGUCAACUAAGGCCACUGCUCCUCUCCUGCCUCUUGUGGCCAUGCCUUUCUCUGCAGAUGUUAUUCCUGCUUCAGAGAAACUGAGGCAGAGGCUGAAGGCACACGAGUGCGAGCUCCCUGCCCCUCCUGCCUCUUUGUGCCCCAAGUUAAUGUUCAAAAGGCAUAAAGUCGCCAAAUCACUCGGAGAAGCUAAAACUGCUCCCUGUGACAAUGGUUUGCUAGUCAAUUCACCCAGAAAACAACACAAAUCGUGUCAACUCAGAGGUUCAGAUCUUCAUGUUCAUGUCAAGACCAGUGAAACCACCCAGCCCGUCAAGGGAAAGUGGACCCGAAACCCGCCCAGCCUGGGAACGGCAUCCCUGUGCUCAGCCUGGGUCACACUCUGCGGCGGGGCUCGCCUGACAAA